This 430-nucleotide ribosomal RNA is filed under the name uncultured bacterium. Its description in RNAcentral is "bacterial SSU rRNA". It matches the Rfam family "Bacterial small subunit ribosomal RNA", at positions 355 to 776 of the family's 1533-position model. The record is from RNAcentral.
UAGGGAAUCUUCGGCAAUGGACGAAAGUCUGACCGAGCAACGCCGCGUGAGUGAAGAAGGUUUUCGGAUCGUAAAACUCUGUUGUUAGAGAAGAACAAGGAUGAGAGUAAAAUGUUCAUCCCUUGACGGUAUCUAACCAGAAAGCCACGGCUAACUACGUGCCAGCAGCCGCGGUAAUACGUAGGUGGCAAGCGUUGUCCGGAUUUAUUGGGCGUAAAGCGAGCGCAGGCGGUUUCUUAAGUCUGAUGUGAAAGCCCCCGGCUCAACCGGGGAGGGUCAUUGGAAACUGGGAGACUUGAGUGCAGAAGAGGAGAGUGGAAUUCCAUGUGUAGCGGUGAAAUGCGUAGAUAUAUGGAGGAACACCAGUGGCGAAGGCGGCUCUCUGGUCUGUAACUGACGCUGAGGUUCGAAAGCGUGGGUAGCAAACAGG